This 253-nucleotide ribosomal RNA is filed under the name uncultured bacterium. RNAcentral's name for it is "partial 16S ribosomal RNA". It matches the Rfam family "Bacterial small subunit ribosomal RNA", at positions 524 to 776 of the family's 1533-position model. The record is from RNAcentral.
UACGGGGGGGGCAAGCGUUGUUCGGAAUUACUGGGCGUAAAGCGUGCGUAGUCGGUUAUCUAAGUCGGGUGUGAAAUCCCCGGGCUCAACCUGGGAAUUGCAUUCGAUACUGGAUAGCUAGAGUUCGGCAGAGGGAAGCGGAAUUUCGGGUGUAGCGGUGAAAUGCGUAGAUAUCCGAAGGAACAUCAGUGGCGAAAGCGGCUUCCUGGACCAGAACUGACGAUCAGGCACGAAAGCGUGGGGAGCAAACAGG